RNAcentral lists this ribosomal RNA (798 nucleotides) under Salmonella enterica subsp. enterica serovar Infantis. RNAcentral describes it as "partial 23S ribosomal RNA". It matches the Rfam family "Bacterial large subunit ribosomal RNA", at positions 711 to 1424 of the family's 2925-position model. RNAcentral also lists the same sequence under 1 other name. Lineage: Bacteria; Pseudomonadati; Pseudomonadota; Gammaproteobacteria; Enterobacterales; Enterobacteriaceae. The record is from RNAcentral.
AGACCCGAAACCCGGUGAUCUAGCCAUGGGCAGGUUGAAGGUUGGGUAACACUAACUGGAGGACCGAACCGACUAAUGUUGAAAAAUUAGCGGAUGACCUGUGGCUGGGGGUGAAAGGCCAAUCAAACCGGGAGAUAGCUGGUUCUCCCCGAAAGCUAUUUAGGUAGCGCCUCGUGAAUUCAUCUCCGGGGGUAGAGCACUGUUUCGGCUAGGGGGCCAUCCCGGCUUACCAACCCGAUGCAAACUGCGAAUACCGGAGAAUGUUAUCACGGGAGACACACGGCGGGUGCUAACGUCCGUCGUGAAGAGGGAAACAACCCAGACCGCCAGCUAAGGUCCCAAAGUCAUGGUUAAGUGGGAAACGAUGUGGGAAGGCCCAGACAGCCAGGAUGUUGGCUUAGAAGCAGCCAUCAUUUAAAGAAAGCGUAAUAGCUCACUGGUCGAGUCGGCCUGCGCGGAAGAUGUAACGGGGCUAAACCAUGCACCGAAGCUGCGGCAGCGAACGUAUCACUUAAAGCGAUUCAGCGGGUUACGAUUGACGGAGCGAAGCGACGUCAAAGCGUAUACAAAGUCGAGUCGGUUUAAGGAUACGUUCGUUGGGUAGGGGAGCGUUCUGUAAGCCUGUGAAGGUGUGUCGUGAGGCAUGCUGGAGGUAUCAGAAGUGCGAAUGCUGACAUAAGUAACGAUAAAGCGGGUGAAAAGCCCGCUCGCCGGAAGACCAAGGGUUCCUGUCCAACGUUAAUCGGGGCAGGGUGAGUCGACCCCUAAGGCGAGGCCGAAAGGCGUAGUCGAUGGGAA